AUUGAACGCUGGCGGCAUGCUUUACACAUGCAAGUCGGACGGCAGCGCAGAGAAGCUUGCUUCUUGGGUGGCGAGUGGCGAACGGGUGAGUAACAUAUCGGAACGUACCGAGCAGUGGGGGAUAACUAAUCGAAAGAUUAGCUAAUACCGCAUAUUUUCUGAGGAAGAAAGCAGGGGACCUUUGGGCCUUGCGCUGUUUGAGCGGCCGAUAUCUGAUUAGCUAGUUGGUGGGGUAAAGGCCUACCAAGGCGACGAUCAGUAGCGGGUCUGAGAGGAUGAUCCGCCACACUGGGACUGAGACACGGCCCAGACUCCUACGGGAGGCAGCAGUGGGGAAUUUUGGACAAUGGGCGCAAGCCUGAUCCAGCCAUGCCGCGUGUCUGAAGAAGGCCUUCGGGUUGUAAAGGACUUUUGUCAGGGAAGAAAAGGGCGGGGUUAAUACCCCUGUCUGAUGACGGUACCUGAAGAAUAAGCACCGGCUAACUACGUG
Molecule: ribosomal RNA, 490 nt
Filed under: uncultured bacterium
Lineage: Bacteria
Description: partial 16S ribosomal RNA
Rfam family: Bacterial small subunit ribosomal RNA
Source: RNAcentral